This 256-nucleotide RNase P RNA is filed under the name Vibrio parahaemolyticus. Its description in RNAcentral is "partial RNase P RNA component class A". It matches the Rfam family "Bacterial RNase P class A", at positions 145 to 367 of the family's 367-position model. From Rfam's summary of the family: Ribonuclease P (RNase P) is a ubiquitous endoribonuclease, found in archaea, bacteria and eukarya as well as chloroplasts and mitochondria. Lineage: Bacteria; Pseudomonadati; Pseudomonadota; Gammaproteobacteria; Vibrionales; Vibrionaceae. The record is from RNAcentral.
CGGGUAAGGGUGAAACGGUGCGGUAAGAGCGCACCGCGUCUGCGGUAACGUAGAUGGCAUGGCAAGCCCCGUCAGGAGCAAGACCAAAUAGGAACGGCGCGCCGGAAGCAAUUCCGGCAGGGCAUUGCCGCACGGGACCGUUCGGGUAGGUUGCGUGAGCCGUCCAGCAAUGGCCGGCCAAGAGGAAUGAUCGUCACGAUCGCCGGUCUUCGGAGCGAUGGUCGUACAGAACCCGGCUUACAGGCCGUCUGAUCCA